CCUAUGGGAGGCAGCAGUGAGGCAUAUUGGGCAAUGGGCGGAAGCCUGAACCAGCCAAGUAGCGUGCAGGAUGACGGCCCUACGGGUUGUAAACUGCUUUUAUACGGGAAUAACGCGCCUUACGUGUAGGGCUUUGCAUGUACCGUAUGAAUAAGGACCGGCUAAUUCCUUGCCAGCAGCCGCGGUAAUACGGAAGGUCCGGGCGUUAUACGGCUUUAUUGGGUGUAAAGGGAACGUAGGCCGUAUGUCAAGCUUGAUGUGAAAUGUCAGGGCUCAACUCGGGCCUUGCAGCGCGAACUGGCGUGCUAGAGUCUGCGGAAAGCAGGCAGAAUUCGUGGUGUAGCGGUGAAAUGCUUAGAUAUGACGAAGAAUCCCGAUUGCGAAGGCAGCUUGCUGCAGCGGAACUGACGCUGAUGCUCGAAAGCGCGGGUAUCGAACAGGAUUAGAUACCCGAGUAGUC
RNAcentral lists this ribosomal RNA (460 nucleotides) under uncultured bacterium. Its description in RNAcentral is "partial 16S ribosomal RNA". It matches the Rfam family "Bacterial small subunit ribosomal RNA", at positions 338 to 795 of the family's 1533-position model. The record is from RNAcentral.